RNAcentral lists this ribosomal RNA (2673 nucleotides) under Triticum aestivum (bread wheat). RNAcentral's name for it is "partial small subunit ribosomal RNA". Lineage: Eukaryota; Viridiplantae; Streptophyta; Magnoliopsida; Poales; Poaceae. The record is from RNAcentral.
AAGCAGAUCACCAACCAACGCCCAGAUUCGAAUUGAAUUCUUCCGGAAGCGUCUCUCCCCUUGUCGUCAGUGGUCUCGGCGUGCGGGCCGACGGACCAACCCAAGCUCCCUCCCCUCUCACAGCAGGCGCCAAUAAUCCCAACCCCAACCCCCAAGCCAGAGAUAACAACCCCAGCGAGUCGGCGGCAACCCUCCUUCCCGCACCGGUGGAGAUGGACGCUCCCUCGUACCGGCUCGCGGCGGCGGUCACGGCCCCCUCGGGCGCCGAGGCCGAGUUCCUCGUCGUCCGGCAGCUGCCCCCGCCGUCCCCGCCCGGGGGCGAGGAGGAGGGGGAGUACGGGCGCUACGUCGACAGCGACCUCUACGACCUCCCGUCGGCGCCGCUGCGGCGCCUCGCGGAGGGGGAGCCGGCCCGGCCGGGCGUCGCCGUCGCCGGCGCGGAGGCGGACGGCUCCCUCGACCUCUCGCGCCUCGACGUCCCCGCCGCCCUCGAUCAGAUUUUGAGCCAAUUGGGCCUGACGAAUGCAAUGUGCGGGGAGUGGAGGCUCCUCAAGCAUAUUGUGGAAGCAGAGUUUGGCCCGGACGCGGGCGUCAACACGGUGCUCGUCAUCACGCCGCUCGAGUCGAAACCGGAGGCAUUGCAAGACUCCUGUAAAUGGAUGACCAAGGAGGGUGCUCGGGAAUUGCUUUCUGACGUGAAAACCGGUGAUACUCGAAUUGGGCCCUAUGUGCACGCUGGAUUUGUGAAAUCGGAGCUAUCGUCAAAUUGUACCACUGACUCCACAUUGGUCUCCCAGGAGUACCCUCCUGGAAUAACCCUUGUACCAAUGAAGAGUAGUACCUUACGGCCAUUUCGUACGACUAAUCUCGUGGUAAUACAAGCAACCAGUGGUACAUGCGGAUCGAAGCGCCCUGAUUAUUUUGCUUGUGGUGAUGCUUUACUGAUAGAUCCUGGAUGUUGCUCACAGGUUCAUACAGAGCUUGCAGAUCUUGUCAAUUCCCUUCCAAAGAAGUUAUUGGUCCUUGUUACACAUCAUCAUAAUGAUCAUGUUGAGGGUCUUUCGGUUGUUCAGAGAUGCAAUCCUGAUGCUGUUCUUUUGACACAUGAAAACACGAUGAAGCGCAUAGGGAAAGGGAACUGGUCAACCAGCUAUACUGCUGUGACUGGUGGUGAAAGCAUAUGCAUAGGUGACCAAGAACUGCAAGUCAUUUUUGCUCCUGGUCAUACAGAUGGUCAUAUGGGGCUUCUCCAUGUCAAUACCAAUGCACUAAUUGUCGGAGAUCAUUGCGUAGGGCAUGGAAGUGCAAUAUUGGACAAUAGAGCUGGUGGCAACAUGAAGGACUACUUCCAAACCACAUACAAAUUCUUGGAGAUAUCGCCACACGUGCUAAUUCCAAUGCAUGGAAGAAUCAACCUAUGGCCCAAGCAUAUGCUUUGUGGAUAUCUCAAGAAUCGAAAGGCUAGAGAAGCCUCCAUUCUGCAAUCCAUAGAGAAUGGUGCUCAAACUUUGUUUGAUAUAGUUUCAAAGACUUACUGUGAUGUAGACAGGAAAUUAUGGAUUCCUGCGUCCUUUAAUGUUCGCCUUCAUGUUGAUCAUCUGAACUCUCAACAGAAACUUCCCAAGGACUUCUCAACGGAAAAGUUUGAAUCGAGCUGCGGAGCACAUUUCAUAUUUCGGUGGGGCGUGGCGUAUGCCCAAGCCAGGAGCUCACCCGCCCUCAUCAUCGCGGCAAGUGCCCUCGCCGCUGGUGGUCUGGCAAUUGUGUAUGCCCUCAGAAGGAGCAACGUCAACCAGCCCUAGGAUUCUUCUCCGAGACCCGGCAAUCCCCAUCCGCGUACACGCGUCUGUCGACCUACGAUCGUGCUGUGAGUCAGACUGUAAACUCCCAAGAUUGUUCGUAAUUGCACAUUUGUGAAUUUUGCUCCGUAUACACACAACGCAAGGGAGAAGCUCCCGGUGCUACGUUGGGUUCCUCCUAAUCCACAGGUACUUUCGACCUAGAGAUCCAUGUGUAGGUUAAUCGAAUACAGAGACUUUUGACUUUGUUCUAAAAUAAAACCCGCACUGACCUGGGUCUAGGUUUCAGCUGUCGGCCCAGUUGCCAAUUUGUGAGAAGACCAGGAGUGGCCAUGUUUACAAUUGUACAUGUGAAGAGAAUUGCUUCCUUGGCAAUUACUACCGCUGACAAAAUUAAAAGUAUGUGUACAAACUUAUGCAAAGAGCAAGCGAUGUUCGCCAAAGCAUCAGGGUGGCCGGUUGCGCGUGUCUGCCUGCCGUAGCUGUAGCUGGUUAUGAAGGAAAGAGUGCCUGGAAGUCCCACUCCGGUCUUUGUCGGCCUGACGAGGGAAAGGGGGAGAAGGAGAGGCUCUAAAGACAUACUCCCUACGUUCCGAAUUACUUGUCUCGGAAAUGGAUAUAUCUAGAAUUAAAAUACAUCUAAAUACAUCCAUUUCUACGACAUGUAAUUCCGAACGGAGGGAGUAGAAUGGUUGAUGCCGGAGCAGGAGGGGACGGUGCAAGAGUUGCUCUAAAGAGAACAAGCUAGAGAUGGAAAAAGAGUGACUGAUACUUUUUCUCUCAAAUAAAAGAAAGAAAAUAAUGCCUGAUACGUACUUUAUCUGUUUCAAAAUAGAUGACUCAACUUUAUACUAGCAUAAAGUCUUUAUACUAG